RNAcentral lists this ribosomal RNA (375 nucleotides) under uncultured bacterium. RNAcentral describes it as "bacterial SSU rRNA". It matches the Rfam family "Bacterial small subunit ribosomal RNA", at positions 28 to 404 of the family's 1533-position model. The record is from RNAcentral.
GACGAACGCUGGCGGCGUGCUUAACACAUGCAAGUCGAACGGUGAACCUGGCUUCGGCCAGGGGAUCAGUGGCGAACGGGUGAGUAACACGUGAGCAACCUGCCCCUAGCUCUGGGAUAACCCCGGGAAACCGGAGCUAAUACCGGAUACGAGACCGAGUUGCAUGACACGGUCUGGAAAGUUUUUCGGCUAGGGAUGGGCUCGCGGCCUAUCAGCUUGUUGGUGGGGUAACGGCCUACCAAGGCGACGACGGGUAGCCGGCCUGAGAGGGCGACCGGCCACACUGGGACUGAGACACGGCCCAGACUCCUACGGGAGGCAGCAGUGGGGAAUAUUGGACAAUGGGCGCAAGCCUGAUCCAGCCAUGCCGCGUGA